UUGAGUGUUCAAUUACUGUCUGUAGUUGUAGGCGAUGUCGGCGAACUCCUUCCUGCGGCUGCGGUACACUGGAUCUGUGAAGCCCUGCUCGUGCACCUGGCCGCUGAUCUGCGCGCGCAGGCAUUCGAUGACAUCGUCCAGGGCCGGCGAGCAGUUGGAGUCCACGCUGAUGAAGAACUCGUACUGCUCCUGGCUGACGCGCGACGGCCGGGACUCGAUAUGUGUCAGGUUGAUGCCCUUGUCCUGAAAAACGGCGCCGGGAUAAGAAGAUUGAGCCGAGGAAUCCAACGGACACCCCCCGAAGAACCAAAUUUAAAACCGACGGAACCACAAACGUUUUUCUACCUACCACUUUGUCCUGUUCAUUGGGCUGGGCGUCCUGAACGGAGUUCCCGUUGACCCUCUUGUAAGCCGCGUCCAUCUUCUCUGGCGUGCAGGUGCCACAAGAGGGCGGUGGAGGACUAGGCAUGCACAGGUGUCCUUUUGGAUGGAUCAAUAGGAGACUGCCCACCAGAGGGCGACAGUCGUCCACCACUGGCGUCCUAUCCUCCUCUCCCCCCCUUCUAAUCCACAGCAGCCCAUGUUGCCGUGGUGACACUCAACUGAGCAGGUGAUGCAUUGACGGCGAGCAGAUGGCUCCCUGCCGAGGUACCGCGAGUUCAACAAAAAACACCCCCUUGAAAAAUCACCUUGUUUGGAUCGGAUAGCAAAGAAAAGUCGCCACGCAAAAGCCAGAAGCCGAAGACCAGCACCGCAACGUCACCAUGGUUGGAUGAAAGGUGAAAAGAGGCCCGUCUUUGUGUCUUUUUUCGGCAAGGCCAUCUUGUGGGAAAGGCCCGUCCCGUGCCGUACUGCCCACAUGUGUCUCCAGCGUCCCUCCGCACUUUGUCCUCGCUUCCUGUCUGA
This is a long non-coding RNA of Hippocampus zosterae (dwarf seahorse), 906 nucleotides long. RefSeq lists it as uncharacterized. The transcript is spliced from 10 exons. NCBI's taxonomy places the organism in Eukaryota, Metazoa, Chordata, Actinopteri, Syngnathiformes, Syngnathidae. The record is from RefSeq and is a predicted model, not a curated record.